AUAACGCCUCAGUAAAGUGUGACAGGAUGAGGUCACAGAAGAUUCGCAGACGACCCGAGUCCUGCCACGCCUACCACCCACAGGAGAACGCCAAUGACUGUGGAGGAGCUUCUUUUAUAUCUCUCUCUGCCUCUCUCUUCUUUAUCUGUCUGUCCUUCUCGGCACUUGUCUCCUGAUGAUGGACAACUUUGCUGUUUCAUCCAUUCUCAUAUAAAGGAGGAGACUGGAAUAAAUCAAGAGAUGUGUUUGGACACUGGACACCUCAAGUGGAUUUUUUGGAAAACAUACCUAAUUCUGCACAGUUUGCUCAUGACAACCACAAGCCUAGUCUCUCCUGGUGGACAUUUGAUGUGGUUUAUGGGUAUUUGUUGAAUAAUUCCUGGAGAUUAGUACAUCUGAAGUUAAAAAAAAAUAACAGCAAAGAAAGUAAGUUAAUGGGCUGUUGUUGCCAUGGAUACUUUUCCAUUAGUUACUUUCUCACACACCACUUUGCAUCUUAAAAUGAAAAGGGACUAAAGAGAUGGUGGUGCCUCUGACAUGCAUUGAUAGAGAGGAUUAUGAGUCACAAGGUGCGACAUAACAAAGUCCAGGGGGGAAACACACAUGUUUCUCAUUUCCCAUAUCACACUGAACUGUGUGUUGCAGACACACGUGCAUAUUAUAUAUGCGGCUGCAAGCACGCACACCUCCAAUACAGAGACAUCCAAUAUUUAUCAACCACAAUGCUUUAUUUACAGACUUUGCUUUUUAAUGUUGAAUAACAGCCACUGUGAGAAGGGUUACAGCAAUAUGUGGGGAAACACUGUUGUGCUGCUGGUGGGAGUCAUGUUAUUGCAGUGUUAAUGGAUAAUGGACAAUGGAUAAGGCUACGGCUCAGUGCCUAGAGUAGAGAGCAGUCACAAUGGGGUUACAUAGAAAUGAGAUAAGUAUGAAAAUGCAAUAAGGAUGAUAAGAGUGGGGAUUGUCAGACACUUGGGGAUUUCAUUUUUUAGUUUAUGCUUUGAUGAUGUCCCAAAAUUUUUUGUUUCUUUAGAAAAUGUCUGUCUGCCUUUUCUGUCUUAUCAGCUGUGUCUUUCUCUGUGUUUGUACAUAUUGUUUGUAAUUAUGUUUGUCUAUUUGGCUGGACAUGUGGAAACUCUCACAGGGUAUAGGUCUACAAUCAGCAUGGAUUACACAAAAAUAGACUAAGGUUUAAAAUGUAUUCAGAUAAGAUUUUGUUUUGUUUUUCGCUUUAAAAAUGCUCAUACACAGUUUCAAUCUGCAUGUCUUAACCACAAAGGAUUGUGUGUACAAUGUAUAAAUGAUUCAGGAAUCCAACAAAGAGUUAAUUAACUGUAAGACUAUUUUAAUGCAUUUGCUGAAGACUGUGUUUAGACCUCAACAUCAUGUAUCUGCAACUGAUUGCUGCCAUAAAUAAAUAUAUCAUUUUAUAAUUUCAUGAUAAAAGCAACAGAAAAGGUGACACUCACUCUGAGAAACAACAUUAUCAUAUGGAGAAAUACAUUUUUGAAAAUGUCAUGUUGAUACAUAUGUAACUGCAAUAUAAAUUGAUAUUGUAAAUCUAAUUACAUAGUAUUUUUGUAUACAUCUGCCUGCGUGGUUCAUAUUCAGGACUGUUCUGCUCAGCAUUACAUUGUAUUCUGGGCUGUGGGUGUCCCAGUAGCUUUUUCUAUAUUUUUCAUCAUCUUCCAAAGCAUGUCUUUGAGUUGAAUUAAUUCUGAUGACAAAAUUGCCUGAGAUUUCGCCUGUUCAUGUAUUAGACAAAGAUACAUAUUGUGUGUGUGGAUAUGUAUCAUUACAGUUUGUUCUCUCUUGCUGGGAUUAUGAGAGUAAUUUGACUCAUUUGUUUCAGUUUUGUUUGUAAUUUCCACUAUACAAUAUCCUGUAUAUUGUGUGGUUGAUAUGUCCACAUUGUAUGUUGGUUGACUUGACUGAGGCCAUGAUUUGUACAGUCAAUUAAAUUCUCCUUAUGGUUUUUGUACUGUA
Molecule: long non-coding RNA, 1986 nt
Organism: Lates calcarifer (barramundi perch)
Lineage: Eukaryota; Metazoa; Chordata; Actinopteri; Centropomidae
Exons: 2
Source: RefSeq, a predicted model, not a curated record